GAAAUAGAUAAAAGUUUAUUGAAAUCACUUUUGCAGGAAAAAUUUAAAUAUAACCAAAAACAAAUCGAAUAUUUGAAUGUUGGUGAAAAUAUUUUGACAAAUUUUCGAAAAUUGAUUACUGAUCAAAUAAAUUGUAUUGAAACUAAUCAACGGUUUAUUAUUCCACAACUGAUGGAAUGCAUUAGAAAAGAAGAAAAUUCCAAAAACAAAUUACUUAUUGAGUCUUCAUCAACUGAUAAACCUCAUGAAGAAAUUAUCAUUCCAUCUUCCAUUAAUUCAAAUAAUAUAUUAGAUAAAACUAUGAACAUUAAAGAGUUUUUUUGAUUUCA
Molecule: long non-coding RNA, 329 nt
Organism: Gordionus sp. m RMFG-2023
Lineage: Eukaryota; Metazoa; Nematomorpha; Gordioida; Chordodea; Parachordodidae
Exons: 3
Source: RefSeq, a predicted model, not a curated record